Bombus pascuorum is the source of this 1720-nucleotide long non-coding RNA. RefSeq lists it as uncharacterized. The record is from RefSeq and is a predicted model, not a curated record. The transcript has 2 exons. NCBI's taxonomy places the organism in Eukaryota, Metazoa, Arthropoda, Insecta, Hymenoptera, Apidae.
UUAUACAUUGCCCUGAUUAAUUUGAAGUAAAGAUGUAACAAUUAUAGCACCUCACCAAUAAAUAUUGUCUAAAUUUACAAUAUUUUGUAUUUUGGUAUGUUGUACAAGUGUUUACAUAUAUUUGAAUGUUUAUUUUGAUUUUGUCGAUAAAAUGAUUCUUUUUGAGCUUUUUUAAGCACACCGAAUUUAUAACCUAUAUAUGGUAUCUUAUAUGGUAAGAUAGUUUUCAAGUAGUUUUUGAGUAAAAUUCAGAAAUACAAAUUUUAAAGCGAAGAAAUCUGUUUUAAAAAUUAUGCAUGUAUAAAAUUUGUGCAUAGCGUACGAUUUACUUCGACGCCAUUUUAAGUAUGUUCAAUUAUGCAUAAUUGAAGUAUGAUUUGAAUCGAUGGUUGUAUACAGAUGCACGUGGUAAUUAUUUUAAUAGAUCAAGGAAGCAACUCACAUUUACUUCACUCAGAAAAUUAUGGAGUAUUUUUUGAAAAAGCAAUCUUAUUAGUUGUAUAAAAGCAUAAUGUUUUCAAGUUGCCGCUACUAGUGACACCAUGAGAUCAACGUUUUUAGUGAACGGUCGGCAAAGUCGUUAUCGUUAUAUUAUUGAUCUGCAGUGAAACUAAACAGGGCAGCCCCCUAACUUUAUAGGUUUUUAUAUAUGCCCGCGUGAAACCGCUUCUUGGACUUGAUCACGUGGUGCAGCAUAUGUAUUGGAAUUGUGGUGUUUCGGUUAGCGCUUGUUCAAAUGUUGGUUACAAAAUAUGCAAUUUCUUUGGAUAUGUGUACAACGACUUUCAUGAAACGCGCUUUUUCUAACAGCAAUAGUUUCCUUUAUUGCAAAUAUUUAAACAAUUAACGGUAGGGCUACGAUAUGUUGCAAGCAUGUGACAGUCACAGAAGAAGAAGAUCGAUCCUCGGUAAUAUCGAUGAAAUAUUCGAGCUCAAGGAGUUGCUUCUGAAACUUCGGACGAUUUGGAUGUGUUCUGAUGUACAGACUGUGGUCCAAUCUACAGAUAUAUAUUGGGUUGGCAUCAUUAGGUGGUAAUGACAAAAAGUCCGCAAUCGCUUAGUCGCCAACGCAAUAAAUAUGUCUCGAUACUUAUAUAUUAUACAGAAAGCAUAGAAGAAACCCUCUAAAAAUUGAGUCGCGAGAAGUUAACAUGGAAGACAUCGAAGUCCUUGUUCUUGCGGGACAUGCUAUAAUUGUCUCAGACAGAGACUGACACACUUUACUAAUCUCUGUCCGUCAUGCAAGAAGAAGAACUUUGAUGUCAUACAUGUUGAUAUUUCACAACUCAAUUUUCGGACGAUUCUACGUAGCAGAUAUCGAGACUUUAUAAGACCGUGUCGAUUGGGCCACGAUCGUACACACACGUCUGGGAACUCCUAUGAAAGGGGUGAGGCUUUUAGCGACCGAUGAAUAUUGUUCAAUUUAACCGCAGUAAGGCGCUUUGAUUGAUUGCUUAGGAUUUUUUGUGUAACGCUAUCGUGCAAAAAUAACCCAGACCUGGGUCGUAUCUGCCCCUUUCUCCCUCUCUCUCUCUCUCUCCCCUUAAUACGGCCUUGGACUCGACUCACGGUGGACCGACGAGUAGCAUGGGAGGUGGAAGGAGGAAACAAGAUCACGAUAAUGAUUUUAGAGACCAAUUUUUGUUUUAUAUGAUUAUUAUGAUUACUUUACUAUUACUUUGUAUUUAACUAAUGUCAAAUAAAUGUUAUGUAACAUAAA